This 775-nucleotide ribosomal RNA is filed under the name uncultured bacterium. Its description in RNAcentral is "bacterial SSU rRNA". It matches the Rfam family "Bacterial small subunit ribosomal RNA", at positions 8 to 780 of the family's 1533-position model. The record is from RNAcentral.
AGAGUUUGAUCCUGGCUCAGAUUGAACGCUGGCGGCAUGCCUUACACAUGCAAGUCGAACGGCAGCACGGAGCUUGCUCUGGUGGCGAGUGGCGAACGGGUGAGUAAUAUAUCGGAACGUACCCUAGAGUGGGGGAUAACGUAGCGAAAGUUACGCUAAUACCGCAUACGAUCUAAGGAUGAAAGUGGGGGAUCGCAAGACCUCAUGCUCGUGGAGCGGCCGAUAUCUGAUUAGCUAGUUGGUAGGGUAAAAGCCUACCAAGGCAUCGAUCAGUAGCUGGUCUGAGAGGACGACCAGCCACACUGGAACUGAGACACGGUCCAGACUCCUACGGGAGGCAGCAGUGGGGAAUUUUGGACAAUGGGCGAAAGCCUGAUCCAGCAAUGCCGCGUGAGUGAAGAAGGCCUUCGGGUUGUAAAGCUCUUUUGUCAGGGAAGAAACGGUGGGAGCUAAUAUCUCUUGCUAAUGACGGUACCUGAAGAAUAAGCACCGGCUAACUACGUGCCAGCAGCCGCGGUAAUACAUAGGGUGCAAGCGUUAAUCGGAAUUACUGGGCGUAAAGCGUGCGCAGGCGGUUUAUGUAGUCUGAUGUGAAAUCCCCGGGCUCAGCCUGGGAAUUGCAUUGGAGACUGCAAGGCUAGAAUCUGGCAGAGGGUGGUAGAAUUCACGUGUAGCAGUGAAGUGCGUAGAUAUGUGGAGGAACACGAUGGCGAAAGCAGCCCCCUGGGUCUAGAUUGACGCUCAUGCACUAAAACGUGGGGAGCAAACAGGAUUA